GGGCGUGUGGUCUAGUGGUAUGAUUCUCGCUUUGGGUGUGAGAGGCCCUGGGUUCAAUUCCCAGCUCGCCCC
This is a transfer RNA of Pachysolen tannophilus NRRL Y-2460, 72 nucleotides long. It matches the Rfam family "tRNA". From Rfam's summary of the family: Transfer RNA (tRNA) molecules are approximately 80 nucleotides in length. Their secondary structure includes four short double-helical elements and three loops (D, anti-codon, and T loops). The record is from Rfam. NCBI's taxonomy places the organism in Eukaryota, Fungi, Ascomycota, Pichiomycetes, Alaninales, Pachysolenaceae.